GUUCAUGCUUUAACUUUUGAAUUAUUUUGUAUUUAUAGUUUGCCUUCGUGAAUUAAAUAAACUCUGGAGCUAAAAACAUGAGUUACUUAAAUGGCAAUAACUGCGCUCAAAUCUUCUGAUGAAGAUCUUCAACACCUUCUAUGUUCAAGCGACUUAUGCAGCACAUGAUAAUUCAGAAUCACCAUGUACAUAGAGUAUGGAGAGUUUUUGUUGUGAUUCUGACUACAAUAGAAACGUUACACUCCUUGCCGGGAUCUAGAAAGUUCAAUACGGC
Adelges cooleyi (spruce gall adelgid) is the source of this 274-nucleotide long non-coding RNA. RefSeq lists it as uncharacterized. NCBI's taxonomy places the organism in Eukaryota, Metazoa, Arthropoda, Insecta, Hemiptera, Adelgidae. The transcript is spliced from 3 exons. The record is from RefSeq and is a predicted model, not a curated record.